This 491-nucleotide ribosomal RNA is filed under the name uncultured bacterium. RNAcentral describes it as "partial 16S ribosomal RNA". It matches the Rfam family "Bacterial small subunit ribosomal RNA", at positions 29 to 506 of the family's 1533-position model. The record is from RNAcentral.
AGUGAACGCUGGCGGUAGGCCUAACACAUGCAAGUCGAACGGCAGCACAGUAAGAGCUUGCUCUUACGGGUGGCGAGUGGCGGACGGGUGAGGAAUACAUCGGAAUCUACUUUUUCGUGGGGGAUAACGUAGGGAAACUUACGCUAAUACCGCAUACGACCUACGGGUGAAAGCAGGGGAUCUUCGGACCUUGCGCGAUUGAAUGAGCCGAUGUCGGAUUAGCUAGUUGGCGGGGUAAAGGCCCACCAAGGCGACGAUCCGUAGCUGGUCUGAGAGGAUGAUCAGCCACACUGGAACUGAGACACGGUCCAGACUCCUACGGGAGGCAGCAGGGGGGAAUAUUGGACAAUGGGCGCAAGCCUGAUCCAGCCAGACCGCGUGGGUGAAGAAGGCCUUCGGGUUGUAAAGCCCUUUUGUUGGGAAAGAAAAGCAGCAGGUUAAUACCCCGCUGUUCUGACGGUACCCAAAGAAUAAGCACCGGCUAACUUCGU